GUUCUUGCUUCGGCGGCACAUAUACUAAAAUUGGAAUGAUACAGAGAUUAGCAUGGCCCUUGCAAAA
This 67-nucleotide small nuclear RNA is filed under the name Prolemur simus (greater bamboo lemur). Lineage: Eukaryota; Metazoa; Chordata; Mammalia; Primates; Lemuridae. The record is from RNAcentral.